This 64-nucleotide transfer RNA is filed under the name Quedenfeldtia moerens. Its description in RNAcentral is "tRNA-Cys". Lineage: Eukaryota; Metazoa; Chordata; Lepidosauria; Squamata; Sphaerodactylidae. The record is from RNAcentral.
GGCCCCGCGGUGACUCACGCCAAAGUGCAAAUUUGGAGACACACCCUAAAGGGUGUCAGGGCCU